GGCUUGGUGGCGUAAUGGUAACGCGCCCCAUGUACCUAACGUUUUCAUAUCGGUUGAUGGAAGGUUCGGAGUUCGAUUCUCCGGCAAGCCA
Non-coding RNA from Mycena latifolia, 91 nucleotides. The record is from the annotation of a GenBank genome assembly. NCBI's taxonomy places the organism in Eukaryota, Fungi, Basidiomycota, Agaricomycetes, Agaricales, Mycenaceae.